RNAcentral lists this transfer RNA (73 nucleotides) under Candidatus Abyssobacteria bacterium SURF_17. RNAcentral's name for it is "Candidatus Abyssubacteria bacterium SURF_17 tRNA-Phe". It matches the Rfam family "tRNA". From Rfam's summary of the family: Transfer RNA (tRNA) molecules are approximately 80 nucleotides in length. Their secondary structure includes four short double-helical elements and three loops (D, anti-codon, and T loops). Further hydrogen bonds mediate the characteristic L-shaped molecular structure. tRNAs have two regions of fundamental functional importance: the anti-codon, which is responsible for specific mRNA codon recognition, and the 3' end, to which the tRNAs corresponding amino acid is attached (by aminoacyl-tRNA synthetases). tRNAs cope with the degeneracy of the genetic code in two manners: having more than one tRNA (with a specific anti-codon) for a particular amino acid; and 'wobble' base-pairing, i.e. permitting non-standard base-pairing at the 3rd anti-codon position. The record is from RNAcentral. Lineage: Bacteria; Pseudomonadati; Candidatus Hydrogenedentota; Candidatus Abyssobacteria.
GGCGGGAUAGCUCAGAUGGUAGAGCAGAGGACUGAAAAUCCUUGUGUCGGCAGUUCGAUUCUGCCUCCCGCCA